GAUCCUGGCUCAGGAUGAACGCUAGCUACAGGCUUAACACAUGCAAGUCGAGGGGCAGCAUGGUCUUAGCUUGCUAAGGCUGAUGGCGACCGGCGCGCGGGUGAGUAACACGUAUCCAACCUACCGUCUACUCUUGGCCAGCCUUCUGAAAGGAAGAUUAAUCCAGGAUGGGAUCAUGAGUUCACAUGUCCGCAUGAUUAAAGGUAUUUUCCGGUAGACGAUGGGGAUGCG
Molecule: ribosomal RNA, 231 nt
Filed under: uncultured bacterium
Lineage: Bacteria
Description: partial 16S ribosomal RNA
Rfam family: Bacterial small subunit ribosomal RNA
Source: RNAcentral